CUACGGGAGGCAGCAGUGGGGAAUAUUGCACAAUGGGCGCAAGCCUGAUGCAGCCAUGCCGCGUGUAUGAAGAAGGCCUUCGGGUUGUAAAGUACUUUCAGCGGGGAGGAAGGUGUUGUGGUUAAUAACCACAGCAAUUGACGUUACCCGCAGAAGAAGCACCGGCUAACUCCGUGCCAGCAGCCGCGGUAAUACGGAGGGUGCAAGCGUUAAUCGGAAUUACUGGGCGUAAAGCGCACGCAGGCGGUCUGUCAAGUCGGAUGUGAAAUCCCCGGGCUCAACCUGGGAACUGCAUUCGAAACUGGCAGGCUAGAGUCUUGUAGAGGGGGGUAGAAUUCCAGGUGUAGCGGUGAAAUGCGUAGAGAUCUGGAGGAAUACCGGUGGCGAAGGCGGCCCCCUGGACAAAGACUGACGCUCAGGUGCGAAAGCGUGGGGAGCAAACAGGAUUAGAUACCCUUGUAGUCC
Molecule: ribosomal RNA, 465 nt
Filed under: uncultured bacterium
Lineage: Bacteria
Description: bacterial SSU rRNA
Rfam family: Bacterial small subunit ribosomal RNA
Source: RNAcentral